This 497-nucleotide ribosomal RNA is filed under the name uncultured bacterium. Its description in RNAcentral is "partial 16S ribosomal RNA". The stretch from base 20 to 338 matches the Rfam family "Bacterial small subunit ribosomal RNA", at positions 47 to 358 of the family's 1533-position model. The record is from RNAcentral.
GAUGAACGCUGGCGGCGUGCCUAAUACAUGCAAGUCGAGCGAACGGACGAGAAGCUUGCUUCUCUGAUGUUAGCGGCGGACGGGUGAGUAACACGUGGAUAACCUACCUAUAAGACUGGGAUAACUUCGGGAAACCGGAGCUAAUACCGGAUGAUAUUUUGAACCGCAUGGUUCAAAAGUGAAAGACGGUCUUGCUGUCACUUAUAGAUGGAUCCGCGCUGCAUUAGCUAGUUGGUAAGGUAACGGCUUACCAAGGCAACGAUGCAUAGCCGACCUGAGAGGGGGAGCGGGAACAGGGGAGAAGAGAACAAGGCGGGAAGCAGCAGGGAGGCAGAACGAGGGGAUAGUGAGGAAGGUGGAAAAACCAGAAGGCGAAAAGAAUAGGGAAGGAUGAAUGUCUAAGAAUCGGAAAACACUGUGAGUAGGGAAGAAGAGAUGGGCAAGGAAAACUGCGCACCAGGAGAGGAGGUAAUAAGAGGAAGAGCGCGAAUGCAGCC